RNAcentral lists this non-coding RNA (30 nucleotides) under Rattus norvegicus (Norway rat). The record is from RNAcentral. Lineage: Eukaryota; Metazoa; Chordata; Mammalia; Rodentia; Muridae.
UGAAAACAACGUUGUAAUGCCGUCGGAUGC